CUCAUCCAGGUGCCAGUAGGUAUGGUCUCGCUGGGGCCUCCAAAUGUUCUAUUCAAAUCAGUGAGGAAAUAAGAGGACAUCCAGUUUUAGCAAAGUUAAAGUCUUUAAUAG
This 111-nucleotide microRNA precursor is filed under the name Tupaia belangeri (northern tree shrew). Its description in RNAcentral is "miRNA (ENSTBEG00000020347.1)". Lineage: Eukaryota; Metazoa; Chordata; Mammalia; Scandentia; Tupaiidae. The record is from RNAcentral.